CCUACGGGGGGCAGCAGUAGGGAAUCUUCCACAAUGGGCGAAAGCCUGAUGGAGCAACGCCGCGUGGGUGAAGAAGGUCUUCGGAUCGUAAAACCCUGUUGUUAGAGAAGAAAGUGCGUGAGAGUAACUGUUCACGUUUCGACGGUAUCUAACCAGAAAGCCACGGCUAACUACGUGCCAGCAGCCGCGGUAAUACGUAGGUGGCAAGCGUUAUCCGGAUUUAUUGGGCGUAAAGGGAACGCAGGCGGUCUUUUAAAUCUGAUGUGAAAGCCUUCGGCUUAACCGGAGUAGGGCAGUGGAAACGGGGAGACGUGAGUGCAGAAGAGGAGAGUGGAACGGCAAGGGUAGCGGUGAAAUGCGUAGAUAUAGUGAAGAACACCAGUGGCGAAAGCGGCUCUCUGGUCUGUAACUGACGCUGAGGUUCGAAAGCGUGGGUAGCAAACAGGAUUAGAUACCCGGGUAGUC
RNAcentral lists this ribosomal RNA (465 nucleotides) under uncultured bacterium. RNAcentral's name for it is "partial 16S ribosomal RNA". It matches the Rfam family "Bacterial small subunit ribosomal RNA", at positions 338 to 795 of the family's 1533-position model. The record is from RNAcentral.